GCGUAGGUGAUGGACAACAGGUUGAUAUUCCUGUACUACCGAUAACCGUUUGAGAGAAGGGAUGACACAGUAGGAUAAGCUAAGCACACUGUUGGUUAUGUGUGCCCAAGCAUUGAGGCAGUCAAAGUAGGCAAAUCCGCUUUGAUAAUGCUGGGAUGUGAUGGGGAGCGAAAGUUAGUAGCGAAGUAGCUGAUUUCACACUGUCAAGAAAAGGCUCUAUCGAGGUUAAAGGUACCCGUACCGCAAACCGACACAGGUGGGUGAGGAGAGUAUCCUAAGGCCAGCGAGAGAACUGUUGUUAAGGAACUCGGCAAAAUGACCCCGUAACUUAGGGAUAAGGGGUGCCACCAUCAGGUGGCCGCAGAGAAUAGGCCCAAGCGACUGUUUACCAAAAACAUAGGUUUCUGCUAAGUCGCAAGACGAUGUAUAGGAGCUGACGCCUGCCCGGUGCUGGAAGGUUAAGGGGAUCUGUUAGAGCAA
Molecule: ribosomal RNA, 480 nt
Filed under: Clostridioides difficile
Lineage: Bacteria; Bacillati; Bacillota; Clostridia; Peptostreptococcales; Peptostreptococcaceae
Description: bacterial LSU rRNA
Rfam family: Bacterial large subunit ribosomal RNA
Source: RNAcentral